AGACUCUGUUUGGAAAGGAGGCUGACAAGCUCGAGCAGGCCAACGACGAUGACAAGACCUACUACCUGAUUGAAAAGGAGCCUCUAGUCACCAAGUUCAUCUCUGUCCCAAGGACAGAGGUAGUCUCAACUGUGCCUCGUUUGUUGCUGGCAUCAUCGAAGCCAUCCUCAUCGGCUGCAACUUUGAACUGGCGGUGACGCAGCUGUCUGGUACCGUGCCCUGGUGAUGGCCAUCACAGUUUCCCCUUCUCGUCAGUCCAGCAAGAUGCGAAGGACUGCCAGCCCCUCACCGCAUCUGUGACAGACAGGAGGCUAGCCACCAACAGGCACCCAUGGCGACCUUAAAUUUGGGGUGAAGCACUACCGGUCCAAGACGAGAAUUACCAGCAUCGAAGUGAAGAACGCGUGUUGGAAGUCGGCAAUGAUUGCAGCAGAUGCCCUGAGCGUGCUCAAGGAAAAAAAAAAAAAAAAAACUGGACAGAACGGUCGAGGAAUUCAGAUAUGUGUACCAGACACAUCUUCCAUGUUCCUUACUGCGGCGUUCAGGAAUUCACGGACCACGCUCGCUUCAGUAAAAGUGUUGUGCCAGCAAGCAGACAUUAUCAUGAACGAUAACAUCGCCAAACCAUUCAUGUGGAACCGGACAAUGUUCGACAAGUUGACACCCGUGCGAUAUAGUAACAACGAUUGAAACGCCACUCCAGGCGGCAUGCGAAGUUUCCCGACAGACGCAACGAAUGGAUCUCCUACACUUUCGCUGACGUGAACGCGCAAGUAUAACAUAGCGUGACCUCUGGAAAUGUUUCUUUGAGUCCGGAUUCACACGGCCGUCAAAGGCCCCGUCAAUGCACUGGCUUCCGUCUUGAAUAGUGUUUUCUUGCCAAUAUAUCCUCAAAAAAUAGCACACCGGUGACCUUGGUUGAUGCCGGUCGCCGGUGUCCUAUUUUUUAGUGAAAACCAGCGAGAAAACACUGUUUCGUGACGGGACGGGGGGCGUUUUUCCGCAAUAAAC
Long non-coding RNA from Dermacentor silvarum, 1011 nucleotides. RefSeq lists it as uncharacterized. NCBI's taxonomy places the organism in Eukaryota, Metazoa, Arthropoda, Arachnida, Ixodida, Ixodidae. The record is from RefSeq and is a predicted model, not a curated record. The transcript has 6 exons.